This 1439-nucleotide ribosomal RNA is filed under the name uncultured bacterium. Its description in RNAcentral is "bacterial SSU rRNA". It matches the Rfam family "Bacterial small subunit ribosomal RNA". The record is from RNAcentral.
AGAGUUUGAUCAUGGCUCAGAACGUACGCUGGCGGCACGCCUAAUACAUGCAAGUCGAACGAAGUAGCAAUACUUAGUGGCAGACGGGUGAGUAACAUGUAGGUAUCUUCCCAUUGGUGAGGAAUAACACGAGGAAACUUGUGCUAAUACCUCAUAAGUCUUUACGGAGAAAGCUUUAUGCGCCGAUGGAUGAGCCUGCACUUGAUUAGUUUGUUGGUAGGGUAAUGGCCUACCAAGACAAUGAUCAAUAGCUGAUUUGAGAGGAUGAUCAGCCACAUUGGGACUGAGACACGGCCCAAACUCCUACGGGAGGCAGCAGUAGGGAAUCUUGCACAAUGGGGGAAACCCUGAUGCAGCGAUGCCGCGUGAGUGAAGAAGGCCUUUGGGUUGUAAAGCUCUUUCGUCGGGGAAGAAAAUGACUGUACCCGAAUAAGAAGGUCCGGCUAACUUCGUGCCAGCAGCCGCGGUAAUACGAAGGGACCUAGCGUAGUUCGGAAUUACUGGGCUUAAAGAGUUCGUAGGUGGUUAAAAAAGUUGGUGGUGAAAUCCCAGAGCUUAACUCUGGAACUGCCAUCAAAACUUUUUAGCUAGAGUAUGAUAGAGGAAAGCAGAAUUUCUAGUGUAGAGGUGAAAUUCGUAGAUAUUAGAAAGAAUACCAAUUGCGAAGGCAGCUUUCUGGAUCAUUACUGACACUGAGGAACGAAAGCAUGGGUAGCGAAGAGGAUUAGAUACCCUCGUAGUCCAUGCCGUAAACGAUGUGUGUUAGACGUUGGAAAUUUAUUUUCUGUGUCGCAGCGAAAGCAAUAAACACACCGCCUGGGGAGUACGACCGCAAGGUUAAAACUCAAAUGAAUUGACGGGGACCCGCACAAGUAGUGGAGCAUGUGGUUUAAUUCGAAGAUACGCGCAGAACCUUACCAACACUUGACAUGUUCGUCGCGACUUUAAGAGAUUAAAGUUUUCGGUUCGGCCGGACGAAACACAGGUGCUGCAUGGCUGUCGUCAGCUCGUGUCGUGAGAUGUUGGGUUAAGUCCCGCAACGAGCGCAACCCUCACUUUUAGUUGCCAUCAUUAAGUUGGGCACUCUGAAAGAACUGCCAGUGAUAAGCUGGAGGAAGGUGGGGAUGACGUCAAGUCCUCAUGGCCCUUACGUGUUGGGCUACACACGUGCUACAAUGGCAUUUACAAUAGGAAGCAAGACGGCGACGUUUAGCAAAUCCUAAAAAAGUGCCUCAGUUCGGAUUGUACUCUGCAACUCGAGUACAUGAAGCUGGAAUUACUAGUAAUCGCGGAUCAGCGCGCCGCGGUGAAUACGUUCCCGGGUCUUGUACACACCGCCCGUCACACCAUGGGAGUUGGUUCUACCUUAAGGCAAAGUUUAAAACCUUUGACCACGGUAUAGUCAGCGACUGGGGUGAAGUCAUAACAAGGUAACCGUA